AACGAACGCUGGCGGCAGGCCUAACACAUGCAAGUCGAACGCUCCGCAAGGAGAGUGGCAGACGGGUGAGUAACGCGUGGGAACGUGCCCUUUGGUUCGGAAUAUUCCCGGGAAACUGGGAGCAAUACCGGAUAAGCCCUUCGGGGGAAAGAUUUAUCGCCAAAGGAUCGGCCCGCGUCAGAUUAGCUAGUUGGUGAGGUAAUGGCUCACCAAGGCUACGAUCUGUAGCUGGACUGAGAGGAUGAUCAGGGACACUGGGACUGAGACACGGCCCAGAAUCUUACGAGAGGCAGAAGUGGGGAAUCUUGAACAAUGGGCGCAAGCCUGAUCCAGCCAUGCCGCGUGGAUGAUGAAGGCCCUAGGGUUGUAAAAUCCUUUCGACGGGGAAGAUAAUGACGGUACCCGUAGAAGAAGCUCCGGCUAACUUCGUGCCAGCCGCCGCCGUAA
This 447-nucleotide ribosomal RNA is filed under the name uncultured bacterium. RNAcentral describes it as "partial 16S ribosomal RNA". It matches the Rfam family "Bacterial small subunit ribosomal RNA", at positions 29 to 523 of the family's 1533-position model. The record is from RNAcentral.